UACGGAGGAUGCGAGCGUUAUCCGGAUUUAUUGGGUUUAAAGGGUGCGUAGGCGGCUUUUUAAGUCGGCGGUGAAAUUUUGCAGCUCAACUGUAAAAGUGCCUUCGAUACUGGCUUCCUUGAGUGUGGAUGAAGUAGGCGGAAUUUGUGGUGUAGCGGUGAAAUGCUUAGAUAUCACGAGGAACUCCGAUUGCGUAGGCAGCUUACUAAACUACUACUGACGCUCAGGCACGAAGGCGUGGGGAUCAAACAGGAUUAGAUACCCCCGUAGUCCCU
RNAcentral lists this ribosomal RNA (275 nucleotides) under uncultured prokaryote. Its description in RNAcentral is "partial 16S ribosomal RNA". It matches the Rfam family "Bacterial small subunit ribosomal RNA", at positions 524 to 798 of the family's 1533-position model. The record is from RNAcentral.